RNAcentral lists this transfer RNA (68 nucleotides) under Anguilla anguilla (European eel). RNAcentral's name for it is "tRNA-OTHER". The record is from RNAcentral. Lineage: Eukaryota; Metazoa; Chordata; Actinopteri; Anguilliformes; Anguillidae.
GGUUGUAUAAGGGGUAAGGAGUUGGUCUUGUAACCCAAAGGUCGCGGGUUCGAAUCCCCGUGGGGACA